RNAcentral lists this non-coding RNA (106 nucleotides) under Enterococcus sp. Its description in RNAcentral is "Glycine sequence". It matches the Rfam family "Glycine riboswitch aptamer". Rfam says of the family: This family represents the bacterial glycine riboswitch. The record is from RNAcentral. Lineage: Bacteria; Bacillati; Bacillota; Bacilli; Lactobacillales; Enterococcaceae.
AAGAAAAUUGCGGGAGAGACUGAAUAAUAGCACCGAAGGAAUAAAUAGUAGUAUGAAGCAACUCAUUUACUAUGAAGAUCUCAGGUAAAAGGACCGCACUUGGACA